Vicia villosa (hairy vetch) is the source of this 1700-nucleotide RNA transcript. RefSeq lists it as uncharacterized. Lineage: Eukaryota; Viridiplantae; Streptophyta; Magnoliopsida; Fabales; Fabaceae. The transcript is spliced from 9 exons. The record is from RefSeq and is a predicted model, not a curated record.
CUUAAAAGUGCUUAUCUAACGUGCUUUUCAAUCUCUUCCUCGGCCAAAUCCAAUUCGUAGCAGAGCAUGGUGAUUAAUGGAACAAGAAAAUGAAAAUGAAGUUAAGAGAAACAAAAGAUACGUGAAGAUGAUGCCGACGCACAUUAAUGAUGGAAUUCGGCAACUAUUCUUGUGUGUGUCUGUUGGUCUUUGGGCAGCUAUUCUUGUGUGUGUGAACAACAUCAAUAUCGCUGAUUCUAUUAAGAAGAAUCAUAUUCAGGUCUCCAACACCAAAAAACCACUCUUCUUCUACGUAAAUCUCGCCAAGAAUAUGAUUACUAUAACACCCCAUUUUCUUUCUCAUGUGAUCAAUGAGUUGAACGACUCUGUACCAACUUUGCCCCACCUCGUGGCCAAUGAGGUUUGAAGAGUGAUUGGUUAUUAGAGAGCAGUAGUUUUGCAGAGAGGAGUAAGCAGUACAAGUGGACAACAAGUAGAGGUCCCUCCCACUUUCACUUUUGAUUUGAAAAAAGAUGCAUUGGGAGAGUCCAAGUCCAAGAAGGCACAGAACAGUGUACAGACUGUUUCUGUUCUGCUAAGUCUUUGCAGUUACAGAUUCAUUAAAAAUGUUUUACUAUCAUUCAGAUUCUGAUUCUUCUUAAAUCUUUAUACUUUUUUGACAAUCUGUGUUCCUGCUCUGCAUUAAGGGUAGGGUACAUUGCAUUUUAGUCUAAUGCUAUUCACUUCUUUUUACAUUCACUUUAUUACACAUAUGGCUCCUAAUAUAUGUUACAAUUAGUCUAAUUUUUAAGUUCCUUAUUGCUUUUACUACUACUUAAUCAUCACAGAUAGGCACUAAAAUGUUGAUUAUCACAAGAAUUUCAGGGAACAGCAAUGGCUUCACUAAUUCAUAUGCAGAAAAUUCUAUCAAAUAGGAUGCAACAUUUUUCAAGCAUUGAAAAAGCUGAAUCAAUUGGAUGGUCUCUGCAACUUCUAUCAUUUGCAUGUUUAUCUUUAGCAACAAAUAUGGAGGAACCCCUUGUUCCUUCUCUCUUGGACCUUCAGGUUUCAACGUGGUUUGAACAGCAAGCCUAUGGCACUCAUCAAGAAGCUCCGCAAGGCGGACUCUGAUGAGCUAAUGAUAGAAGCUGAUAUCACGUGCACAAUACUAAAAAGCUGAUUUUGGUCUGAUUGUUUAUUCUCUUAGCCUUUGUUACACCAUAUGCAUAUUCGAAAGCUUCUUCGUAGGUUGAAAGCCGAAACUGAUCAAAUAUGUCAAGCUCCUGAGUAUUUCAGGGGUAUUUCAGUGUUAUUUGGCCUUCUUAAGGAAGUUCUUAAAAACAGACCUGACUUGAAGUUGGUUGUUAUGAGUGCUACACUUGAAGCUGAAAAGUUUCAGGGAUAUUUUUUUGGAGCUCCUCUAAUGAAAGUUCCUGGAAGGCUACAUCCAGUUGAAAUUUUUUAUACUCAAGAACCAUUUUUUUUUCAUUUUUUACACUCGUCAAAACUGCGAAAACAAUUGCUUCUCCAGGGCGUGGUAUUUUGGCCAUGGAUGAAUCCAAUACUACAUGUGGAAAGCGGUUGGAUUCAAUUGAACUAGAGAACACCGAAACUAACCGUCAAGCAUGGCGUAAAAUUAUAUAUGAAGAAAGUGUUAUGACUUAGUUAAAAUAUAAUUUUUAUGUGUAUGCUUUUAUAAUACUUGAAAUAUUAUGACUGUA